Molecule: ribosomal RNA, 253 nt
Filed under: uncultured bacterium
Lineage: Bacteria
Description: partial 16S ribosomal RNA
Rfam family: Bacterial small subunit ribosomal RNA
Source: RNAcentral
UACGUAGGGUGCGAGCGUUGUCCGGAAUUAUUGGGCGUAAAGAGCUCGUAGGCGGUUUGUUGCGUCGGCUGUGAAAUCCCGAGGCUCAACCUCGGGUCUGCAGUCGAUACGAGCAAACUAGAGUGUUGCAGGGGAGACUGGAAUUCCUGGUGUAGCGGUGAAAUGCGCAGAUAUCAGGAGGAACACCGGUAGCGAAGGCGGGUCUCUGGGCAACAACUGACGCUGAGGAGCGAAAGCUGGGGGAGCGAACAGG